CCUAUCUCCUCUCCUCCGCGACCUCUCUCUCCAUGGCCGCCAAGAGGAAGCUCCGCAGGUCGUCGGCGGUGGCUGCUCCAACAGCGCCGAAGGCGAAGGAAGACGAAGCGGAGAGGCUGUUCUCCUCGCGCCCCUUCGCCGACCUCGCCCUCCACCCCACCCCCUACGCACGCCCCCAAGGAGGCUGCUCAUCUGAUCUAAGCAAGUAGCAAAAGUAGGAAAGCACGCACCUUGGUUACUGAGCAGCAUCAUCAGCAUCAGAUCCAAUGCUUAGAGAGAAGAGUAACGAGGAUGUGGACUAUGGAAGAAGAGUAGUGAGGUUGUGCUGUUGAUGUGAGCUAAAUUUGUCGUUCCUCUACCUUAUGGCUUAGUUCCCAAUGUCAUGAGAUUGUGACGUUGAAUGGUUCAGGUUACAAGCAAUUAUUCGGUCGAUUAGUUCUAGGCCCGGCCGCGCACCAGACCUAUAAAAAAGGGUUUAUUAGGAGCGCUGGCCUGGGCUUCAGUCAUUAUUAAGGUCCCUACUUGAACUGUUAAAAAAAGCAGAUGCACUGUUCAAAGAAAUUUGUCCUUCUUUU
Molecule: ribosomal RNA, 575 nt
Filed under: Triticum aestivum (bread wheat)
Lineage: Eukaryota; Viridiplantae; Streptophyta; Magnoliopsida; Poales; Poaceae
Description: partial small subunit ribosomal RNA
Source: RNAcentral